GAUGAAGAACGUAGCGAAAUGCGAUAAGUAAUGUGAAUUGCAGAAUUCAGUGAAUCAUCGAAUCUUUGAACGCACAUUGCGCCCGCCAGCAUUCUGGCGGGCAUGCCUGUUCGAGCGUCAUUUCAACCAUCAAGCCCCAGGCUUGCGUUGGAGCCCUGCGGCCGCCGCAGCCUCCGAAAUACAGUGGCGGGCUCGCUAUCACACCGAGUGCAGUAGUUUACUCUUCGCUCAGGGCGUGUGGCGGGUGCUAGCCGUGAAACCCCCAACUUCUCAAGGUUGACCUCGGAUCAGGUAGGAAUACCCGCAGAACUUAAGCAUAUCAAUAAGCGGAGGA
RNAcentral lists this unclassified non-coding RNA (334 nucleotides) under soil metagenome. RNAcentral describes it as "partial contains 5.8S ribosomal RNA, internal transcribed spacer 2, and large subunit ribosomal RNA". The stretch from base 1 to 120 matches the Rfam family "5.8S ribosomal RNA", at positions 35 to 154 of the family's 154-position model. The record is from RNAcentral.